This 323-nucleotide transfer-messenger RNA is filed under the name Porphyra purpurea. Its description in RNAcentral is "transfer-messenger RNA Porph_purpu_Avonpo". It matches the Rfam family "transfer-messenger RNA". Rfam says of the family: Bacterial tmRNA, also known as 10Sa RNA or SsrA, is named for its dual tRNA and mRNA-like properties. Its role is to liberate the mRNA from a stalled ribosome. To accomplish this part of the tmRNA is used as a reading frame that ends in a translation stop signal. Lineage: Eukaryota; Rhodophyta; Bangiophyceae; Bangiales; Bangiaceae. The record is from RNAcentral.
GGGGCUGCAAGGUUUCUACAUUGUGAAAAAACAAAUAUAUGAAAGUAAAACGAGCUCAUUAUUAGAGCUUUUAGUUAAAUAAAUGCAGAAAAUAAUAUUAUUGCUUUUUCUCGAAAAUUAGCUGUUGCAUAAAUAGUCUCAAUUUUUGUAAUUCGAAGUGAUAGACUCUUAUACACUACGAAUAUUCUGUUAGAGUUGCUCUUAAUAAAAGAAAAGUAAAAAAAUACAAAUUCUUAUGUUUUUUACCUGAAUUGAUUCAAUUUAAGGUUAGUAUUUUUUGAUUUUUACAAUGGACGUGGGUUCAAGUCCCACCAGCUCCACCA